AAGACCGGACCCAUAUCCCUCUUAUGAUCGUGCCCUAGGCACGAUCGUGGAAGAAGAGGGGUGAAGGGGGUGAGGCAGCGGCGCUAGGGAGGUCGAUCACCAGAGGAGGCCGACCGUCGGGGAAGAUCGAUCACCGGAGAAGGGAGGUUCCAAGAUCCGACCGGUGGUUGAGGAAGCCAUAAAGCCUUCCCCUUCGGCGAAGACCUCUCCCACAAAUCCGGUGAAGCUCACGGAUUUCUCCACCGAUUCCUCGCCGAAAGGGCCGCCGGAACACCCCCACCGGACCGAGAGGAAGAGUCGGCGGUGCCAGGAGAUUUUGAUCAGGGGACUCAGCACCCCAGCACGUAGGUUGUGAUUCGGACCGUGUUUGAGUCAGUCUACAAUUUCUAGGCACUGGAUUCGUAGAAUCUGUCGGAUGGGACAAGAAGUGAGCUCGAUCUGGAGUCAGACUGCUAGAUAGUUAGAAGUCAAUUUAUCUUUUAUUUAUGGACAUUUGAAUUUAUGUAAUCAUUCAGUACAUUUUGGCUGGAUUUGAUUUGAAGUACAUUAAUCAUUGAUUUUGGUAUUUAUGGAAUUAUUGGAAUUGUUGUUUAUCUUAGGCCUUGCAUGAUCUUUAGGGCACUGCUCUAGGGAUCAUGCGGCCGGUCGCGUGCCGGACCCGGGUGAUGGGUUCGGGGCGUGACAAAACCUGACACCAGAGAGAGCCUCCAAGAAAAGCUUGGAAAGUAUUUAGGAGGGUGUGUUUUCUGUAACUGUUCAACUGAAUUUGUGGAUCACAUCUUUAUAAAUUUCCAAUUCUCUUAAAGUAUAUGGACUGUCAUCUGUCAGAAGACUGGAUGCUUCUUUUAUUUUAAAAGAGAGAACAGUUUACCGAACCAAGGGAAGGCUUGGUCCAACUCAUAUGAUAAAAUCAACAUUGAUGCCAAUUGAAAGCCAACAUCUUCAGGGUAAACUCUGGGAAUUUACAUGAGAAAAUAUGACAGUCCAAGAGUUGAUAAGCCAUCCUAUUGGUCGAAACAUGAUAAUUCCCUUCUUUAAUAGGAGAUUUCAACUUCACCUUGCAGUGAAUUAAGAGUCAAACCGAUCAAGAUACUCUUCAUCGGGAGUCAUAAUAGGUAUAUUUUGGAUAAAAAUAUAUUUAAUUAUUAUAAGAAUAUCUUUGAGAGAGAGAUCUUGAGAACUAUAUUGGCACACUUAUAUGGCCCUUAACAAGAGUUUUUUGAGAAUAAAGAAAGUUGUUCGAUAGAGAUAUUUUUAAAAUGGUUUUAUCUUAGACGAGGGGUAUUUUGAGAUCUAUAUUGACACGUUAAUACAGGCUCUAGGAUAUGGGUAUUUUGAGAGCCAAAAAAGCUUUAUGUGGUGAGGAUAUUACAAGAUAGUUAAAAAUUUUAAAUAUCAUGGGUAUCAAGGAAUAGGGGCAUUCUGAAAAUAAUUAAAGUUUUUACAUACUUGUUCCUAGGCUUAUGUGGUUUUUAGGGCUUUUAGGGUUAGGUAGGAUUUUAGGAUUUAGAAUUUUUUAGAAAGGAGGGAAAAGAUUGAUAGGGUCAGUCCGAUUCUUAACUUUUGACAAUGGUUUGGCUUGGCUUGGGCAAUGGGCGUACGCGCCCUCUGGCUGAAAUCGAAGGCAACUUCUAGGCCGCGCCAGCGCUACCGAUAGAACAAACCCCCCCCCGCCUCGGGCGAGUCCUCUGUCCUCCUGCCCAUCGCCAUCUCUUUCUUCCCCCGCCCCCCUGGAUCGAUAGAAUAACGACGAUCUCUGCACCAGAAAUCCCAAAUCGGUGAGAUUUUGAUCGCUUGUGGGAUCUUUUUACUUGAAAAUCGUCGAACUGGUUCUUUCCCCUCUCCAUCUCUACCUGAAUUCUUGUGAGAAAUUUGUAAUGGGCGUGAUUUGGCUCUAGGAAUUUCUUUCUUUCUAAUUAAUGAAAAAUUCGAUAGAAGAUUUCAAAAUUUCUGUUUUAAUCCUUUUUUUCGUGAACCAAUAUUGUUAUCUUUUCAUAUUUGUUUUUGGGGGUUGGGGGGGGGGGGGGCGGCGGGCGUGUUGAUGUUCAAUGAAUCAUUUGGACUUGAAUUCUGGGAUCCUUGAAUCAGAACUCGUAGAAUGGGAAUUAAUG
Molecule: non-coding RNA, 2111 nt
Organism: Phoenix dactylifera (date palm)
Lineage: Eukaryota; Viridiplantae; Streptophyta; Magnoliopsida; Arecales; Arecaceae
Source: RefSeq, a predicted model, not a curated record